GACGAACCGUGCGAACGUUGUUCGGAUUCACUGGGCUUAAAGGGCGCGUAGGCGGGCGGCAUAGUCCGUGGUGAAAUCCCCCAGCUUAACUGGGGAAGUGCCGCGGAUACUGGCUGUCUCGAGGGGUGUAGGGGCAUGCGGAACUUCCGGUGGAGCGGUGAAAUGCGUAGAUAUCGGAAGGAACGCCGGUGGCGAAAGCGGCGUGCUGGACACCUACUGACGCUGAGGCGCGAAAGCCAGGGGAGCAAACGGG
This 253-nucleotide ribosomal RNA is filed under the name uncultured bacterium. RNAcentral's name for it is "partial 16S ribosomal RNA". It matches the Rfam family "Bacterial small subunit ribosomal RNA", at positions 524 to 776 of the family's 1533-position model. The record is from RNAcentral.